UAUACUGGUUUCUACCUAAAGGAUUGGGGUUCGAAUCUUACCUAUGCCAAAGGUAAUUUUAUUUUUCUGGUGAUUAAUGAAACUACCAAAAUAUCCUUGACUUUUGUGUUAUUAAAGAAAAUAUCUUCUAGGUCUCUUAUAAUUUUCCCCAAGUAAGCUUUAAUAUUUUAAAACUCCCUCUGUCAAUUAAAGAAAAUAGAGCACAUCAAGAAAGAGUGUCCAGUUUCUUUUACACAAGUCUCCUCCACAUCACUGACUUGCUUAUCUGAUCCCCGCCAACAACUAGCACCCCAUGCCAUCAAAAUUUCUCCACCAUAAAUGAUGAGGCUGUUCGAUUUCCUUUCCUCCUUUCCUCCCUUGUUUGCCUGUCGCGUGAGUUAUGCUAGUGUGUGUGUGAUGUUAGCCUUCCUCUCCUCUAUCUCAUCACCAGUGAUGUGGGCUACCAAAAAUCCUUGCCUUUCUGUCAUCCUUCAUACCUCCUCUAUCCAUAUCCAUCAUGGUUGUUGCUGUUAGACCUUUCACAAGUAGCAACAUCACUGGCAUUGGUUCGUUUACGUCGUCACCAUUUCGGUGGUCAUGGGAUACGUUAGCUGAUGUUAUGCCUUCCGCUAAUCCUUGAGGGGCUGUAAUACUCAAUUGAGAUGAAAAGCUGUAAUCAAGUUUCUUUAAAGUAAAUUUAAAACCAUGUAUUUUGAUUUGUAAACUUCUUUUGUCAGGUGCUCUACAUAAGCUAUAGUUAGGGUCCUCAUCCUUAUUAUUUAUACUUUGUUAUUUUCUGAUCAGAAGAGAGUUCCUUGCUACUACUAUUGUUUUGUAAAAUAUUUGUAGAUUUGUUUUUGGGGAGAUUUUAUUUUAAGGGGAGAUCCUAUUGAAAUUUUUACAAAAAUAUUAAA
Molecule: long non-coding RNA, 893 nt
Organism: Prosopis cineraria
Lineage: Eukaryota; Viridiplantae; Streptophyta; Magnoliopsida; Fabales; Fabaceae
Exons: 2
Source: RefSeq, a predicted model, not a curated record